RNAcentral lists this ribosomal RNA (103 nucleotides) under Zasmidium dasypogonis. RNAcentral's name for it is "partial 18S ribosomal RNA". It matches the Rfam family "Eukaryotic small subunit ribosomal RNA", at positions 1729 to 1831 of the family's 1831-position model. The record is from RNAcentral. Lineage: Eukaryota; Fungi; Ascomycota; Dothideomycetes; Mycosphaerellales; Mycosphaerellaceae.
GGCAACGACCACCCAGGGCCGGAAAGUUGGUCAAACUCGGUCAUUUAGAGGAAGUAAAAGUCGUAACAAGGUCUCCGUAGGUGAACCUGCGGAGGGAUCAUUA